Molecule: ribosomal RNA, 397 nt
Filed under: uncultured bacterium
Lineage: Bacteria
Description: bacterial SSU rRNA
Rfam family: Bacterial small subunit ribosomal RNA
Source: RNAcentral
AUUGAACGCUGGCGGCAUGCCUUACACAUGCAAGUCGAACGGUAACAGGGAGCUUGCUCCGCUGACGAGUGGCGAACGGGUGAGUAAAGUAUCGGAACGUACCUUUCAGUGGGGGAUAACGCAGCGAAAGUUGCGCUAAUACCGCAUAUUCUGUGAGCAGGAAAGCAGGGGAUCGCAAGACCUUGCGCUGAUUGAGCGGCCGAUAUCAGAUUAGCUAGUUGGUGAGGUAAAGGCUCACCAAGGCGACCGAUCUGUAGCGGGUCUGAGAGGAUGAUCCGCCACACUGGAACUGAGACACGGUCCAGACUCCUACGGGAGGCAGCAGUGGGGAAUUUUGGACAAUGGGGGCAACCCUGAUCCAGCCAUGCCGCGUGAGUGAAGAAGGCCUCGGUGUAAG